AGAGUUUGAUCCUGGCUUAGGAUGAACGCUGGCGGCGUGCCUAAGUACAUAGCAAGUCGAACGAGGUAGCAAUACCGAGUGGCGAACGGGUGAGUAACACGUAGGUAACCUGCCCUUAAGCUUGGGAUACCCAGAGGAAACUUUGGCUAAUACCGGAUAACAACAGAGAAGGCAUCUUCUUUGCUUGAAAGGCCCCUUCAAGGGUCACUUAAGGAUGGACCUGCGGCGCAUUAGCUAGUUGGUGAGAUAACAGCCCACCAAGGCGAGGAUGCGUAGCCGAACUGAGAGGUUGAUCGGCCACAUUGGAACUGAGACACGGUCCAAACUCCUACGGGAGGCAGCAGUAAGGAGUUUUCGGCAAUGGGGGAAACCCUGACCGAGCAACGCCGCGUGAGCGAUGACGGUCCUUUUGGAUUGUAAAGCUCUGUUGUAAGCCAUGAAUGAUAGCUUUAGGAAAUGAAAGCUAUUUGACGACAGCUUACCAGAAAGCCACGGCUAACUACGUGCCAGCAGCCGC
RNAcentral lists this ribosomal RNA (517 nucleotides) under uncultured bacterium. RNAcentral describes it as "bacterial SSU rRNA". It matches the Rfam family "Bacterial small subunit ribosomal RNA", at positions 8 to 518 of the family's 1533-position model. The record is from RNAcentral.